Cherax quadricarinatus is the source of this 3102-nucleotide non-coding RNA. The record is from RefSeq and is a predicted model, not a curated record. NCBI's taxonomy places the organism in Eukaryota, Metazoa, Arthropoda, Malacostraca, Decapoda, Parastacidae.
UCCUAUGGUGUAUAAAUAUACCUUGUUAGAUGAAUCUUAUUGAAGCCAGCUGGCCCAGCUGCUAAUGCACUGGUCUGGAGUUUUACAACUCGCUAGCUCCGAGUUCAAUCCCCACCCAUAUUGUGGUCGAUUUAAUAAGUUGACAAUUUUAAAUUUGCAUACCUUAAAAUGAAAAUGAAGCUUUCUUUUAAUUAAGGUCAUCAACACAAAGUUUGAAUUAUAUUCUUUGGUAAUUUUUUUUUUUAAUUUCAUUAACAUUUUUAAUUUGCAGCUAAACAAGCUAACAUUUAAGGUGUCAUCUUUCAUGUGGGGUUAAUAUUUUGAAGCCAUUAAGAUAAGGUUUACUUUAGCUAUUGAAUGAAAUCCUUAUUACUAAUAAUAUUGGCUGAAAAUUUUAAGUGGGUAAUAGUAGUUCCAGUUAUCCCAUGGAUUCCAACAUUGAAUUGGCAAAUUUGCCUGUACACAAAAUAAAUUUAAUGGGAGCUGUCUUGGCUGUAAGAUGCAUUACCUAUUAAUACUGAAGUCAUUCAGGAGAUGUAGCCUCUAAUAUACUAUUUAAUAUAACCUACCAGGAAAAAAAUUCAUAUUUUGCACACAAAAUUGGCAGAUGUGUAUGUAUUAUUAUUAUUAUUAUUAUUAUAAUCAAGGGGGAAGCGCUAAACCUGGAGGAUUAUACAGCGCCUGGGGGGGGGGGAUGUGGAAGGCAUUCAGGCUUAAUUCGGGGAACUGGAGCACAGAUCCAAUUCCCUAAAUCAAGAGCCACUCACCAACAUCAAGGAACCUUCCUUGAGGGGAGAUGUGUAUGUAAACAUUUCAGUUUUAUUUUGACAUGGUCAAAUUAGAAGACCCCUUCACUGAAUGCUUGAAGAUUCACUAAGAAUUUUGGUGUUAUCAGAACCAUUCCAGGAUGCUAGUUAUGAGUUAACAUUUUUGGUCAUAGAGCAAUGCACAUACCAAUUGGUAGUGGAGUCUUGCUCUAGUCAUUCUUCACCAACAUUGAAAAUUUAUGCAUCAAAUAUGGCCUUCUUGAGUUAUGAACAAAAUGGAAACGUUGAAGGAAAAAAAAUUCAGGCAACUCCUUAAAGAUUUUCCUUUGGGGAUACCUAAUUAGAAAAACAAAUAUGUAUUGAACACUUGAGUUUUUAAGUUUGAAGAGUUAAGCGAGGCCUAUAAUAUCCAGUUUUUGGUUCACUUGUUUCCAGAGCUGAUGCAUACUCAGUGACAUUUUUUCCUUCUUCCUCCUUGGUCUUUGUUUAUAAUUUGGUAAUGUCUUAAUCAAUUCUGAUCAAAUUUUCAACUCAAAUGAACUGCAAUUAGGAAAAAGGUUCAUGACACUAUUGGUAUGGGCAGGUGCCCUCUGAUUAAUUUUUUAUAGACCAUUCCUAAACUUAGUUUCCCUGUGAUAACUUUAGAAAGCCUUUUCAUAUCAACUUCAAAAGUUCAACACUGGUGCUUUUUACUUGGAAGGAGGUCGAUAUUUUUAUUUGUGCAGAAGCCUGUAAUUGUUUUACAUUCAGGAUUGCUGGUGUCUUAUUUCUGUCUCUAACAUGCAAGAUCUCAGGUACUUACACUUAGGUCACACUACACAUGCAUGUACGAGCAUAUACGUAUAUAUACAGUAUAUACAUGCAUAUAUUAAAGGUAGUAGGUUGGUAGACAGCAACUGCCCAGGGAGGUACUAUCGUCCUGCCAAGUGAGUGUAAAACGAAAGCCUGUAAUUGUUUUACAUGAUGAUAGGAUUGCUGGUGCCCAUUUUUCUGUCUCAAACAUGCAAGAUUUCAGGUACGUCUUGCUACUUCUACUUACACUUAGGUCACACUACACAUACAUGUACAAGCAUAUAUAUACACACCCCUCUGGGUUUUCUUUCUAGUUCUUGUCCUUGUUUAUUUCCUCUUACCUCCAUGGGGAAGUGGAACAGAAUUCUUCCUCCGUAAGCCAUGCGUGUUGUAAGAGGCGACUAAAAUGCCAGAAGCAAGGGGCUAGUAACCCCUUCUCCUGUAUAUUUUACUAAAUGUAAAAGGAGAAACUUUCAUUUUUCCUUUUGGGCCACCCCGCCUCAGUGGGAUACGGCUGGUGUGUUGAAAGAAAGAUAUACUACAUAUACAUGUAUAUAUAUACACACCCCUCUGGGUUUUCUUCUGUUUUCUUAAUACAGUGAAACCCUGGGUUCCUAUCUCCCAGAUGCCAACAAGUCUCUUCAGUAACGCUGUUUCGACUUUAGGCCUAGCUCCUGGAACUGAUUACGGCCGAAACUUGGGGUUCCGCUGUAGUUCUUGUAUUUUGUUUAUUUCCUCUUGUCUCCAAGGGCAAGUGGAACAGAAUUCUUCCUCCGUUAGCCAUGUGUGUCAUAAGAGGCGACUAAAAUGCUGGGUGCAAGGGGCUAGUAACCCUUUCUCCUGUAUAUAUUACUGUACUAAAUUUAAAAGGAGAAAUUUUCAUUUUUCAUUUUGGGUCACCUGCCUCAGUGGGAUAUGGACGGUUCGUUGAAAGAAGAAAGGUACCAUUUUGGAAACUUUAUUUAAAAAAUGGUAUGUUAUUUUUUCCUGUAAAAUAUGCACAUUUUGAAUCAUAAAUGGCUAAAGCAUCUUAUAAAAAGAAUAUUUUCUAUGAUUUACCUGUUAAAGUGCUAAUUUACCAACUACUAAUGUACUAGUUAAUAAACUUAGAAUUACUGGAUUCUCUGCUAUAACUUGAAAAUGUAAGUUCUGGUCAGCUUAAAAUUUUUUGUGAUUUUUUGUUGAAACAAUCUUGCACUGAUUUUGGGAAAGUUCUUUUUUGCCAGUUUUAUUAAAAAAUGGUUUCUCACCAAUAACUGAACAAUGUCUCUCCUGAAAGGCAUCGAACGCUAAAUGUUGGUACAGUAUCUUACUUAGAUACUCAACUGCACUGAAUAUUUAUGCCACUCUGUACUAUUCUUCUUGCAUGCAUUAAGGUAGAGAAGAUUGGGUUUAUGGAAUAUGGUUAUACUUUUCUUAGAUUGCACAGCAACUUAAGUACAUAAUUUACUUUUAUAGUAUACUAUUCCAUUUGUUAAAUAACACUGGUGAUUACUACUCUUAAACCAAGAAAGGUAUGGGAAUAAAUAAUACUCAUGUUGAA